Molecule: ribosomal RNA, 465 nt
Filed under: uncultured bacterium
Lineage: Bacteria
Description: partial 16S ribosomal RNA
Rfam family: Bacterial small subunit ribosomal RNA
Source: RNAcentral
CGAACGCUGGCGGCGUGCUUAACACAUGCAAGUCGAACGGAAAGGCCCUGCUUUUGUGGGGUGCUCGAGUGGCGAACGGGUGAGUAACACGUGAGUAACCUGCCCUUGACUUUGGGAUAACUUCAGGAAACUGGGGCUAAUACCGGAUAGGAGCUCCUGCUGCAUGGUGGGGGUUGGAAAGUUUCGGCGGUUGGGGAUGGACUCGCGGCUUAUCAGCUUGUUGGUGGGGUAGUGGCUUACCAAGGCUUUGACGGGUAGCCGGCCUGAGAGGGUGACCGGCCACAUUGGGACUGAGAUACGGCCCAGACUCCUACGGGAGGCAGCAGUGGGGAAUAUUGCACAAUGGGCGGAAGCCUGAUGCAGCAACGCCGCGUGCGGGAUGACGGCCUUCGGGUUGUAAACCGCUUUCGCCUGUGACGAAGCGUGAGUGACGGGAAUGGGGAAAGAAGCACCGGCGAACUACGU